AAAAAUCAAUUUGCCUCCAUCUCUUGUGCCUAACAUGAUGCUUAGAUUUGAUCUGAAAAGCGUUGCAAUGGAAGCCAGCGCUCCCUACAGAAUGAUCACACCCCCGGAUCAAAAUUUCUAGCUUGAUGAUGGAGGAUUAAUUUUCCAACAUGAACCAAAAGGAAACCGCACUCAGGGUUGGCCAAUGUUUCCAAGAUGUAGUUUCAGCAGGCAAGGAUUCCCCCUGGGAAUUCAAGACUCUUUGACCAUCCUCCAUAUAUUGUUAUGUUUGCAUUGAAAAUGGAUUGCCAGUACUCAACCUUCAUCAUUUCACUUUAAUACCCA
This is a long non-coding RNA of Hemiscyllium ocellatum (epaulette shark), 324 nucleotides long. RefSeq lists it as uncharacterized. NCBI's taxonomy places the organism in Eukaryota, Metazoa, Chordata, Chondrichthyes, Orectolobiformes, Hemiscylliidae. The record is from RefSeq and is a predicted model, not a curated record. The transcript has 3 exons.